GUUAUUGUUUAUUUGAUACAACAAAUGGAUAACUGUAGAAAAACUAGAGCUAAUACAUGCUUUAACCGCAAGGUUGUAUUUAUUAGAUAUUCCAGAUUGGUGAAUCAUAAUAACUUCGCAAAUCUCGUUUAUGACGAGAUAAAUCAUCCAAGUUUCUGCCCUAUCAUGCUUUCGAUGGUAGUGUAUUGGACUACCAUGGCUCUCACGGGUAACAGGGAAUUAGGGUUCGAUUCUGGAGAAGGAGCCUGAGAAACGGCUACUACAUCUACGGAAGGCAGCAGGCGCGUAAAUUACCCAAUCCUGACUCAGGGAGGUGGUGACAAGAUAUAACAACGCGAUUUAUAUCGCGAUUGUAGUGAGGGUAUUCUAAAUAGAACCUAUAGUACGAUUAGAGGGCAAGUCUGGUGCCAGCAGCCGCGGUAAUUCCAGCUCUAAUAGCGUAUAUUAAUGUUGCUGCAGUUAAAAAGCUCGUAGUUGGAUUUCAAGGACUGUAAACCCUUCGGGGAAUACAACCUACUAGUCUUAGACUGUUACUGUGAGUAAAUUAGAGUGUUUCAAGCAGGCUUUUGCAAGAAUAUAUUAGCAUGGAAUAACGAAUGUAUUUAGAAUCUUGGUUAAUUCUAAAUUACGAUUAAUAGAGACAGUUGGGGGCAUUAGUAUUUAAUUGUCAGAGGUGAAAUUCUUGGAUUUGUUAAAGACUAACGUAUGCGAAAGCAUUUGCCAAGGAUGUUUUCAUUAAUCAA
RNAcentral lists this ribosomal RNA (743 nucleotides) under Epidinium caudatum. RNAcentral describes it as "SSU rRNA". It matches the Rfam family "Eukaryotic small subunit ribosomal RNA", at positions 109 to 980 of the family's 1831-position model. Lineage: Eukaryota; Ciliophora; Litostomatea; Entodiniomorphida; Ophryoscolecidae. The record is from RNAcentral.